UGGGGAAUAUUGGGCAAUGGGCGCAAGCCUGACCCAGCAACGCCGCGUGAAGGAAGAAGGUUUUCGGAUUGUAAACUUCUGUCCUUGGGGACGAAACAAAUGACGGUACCCAAGGAGGAAGCCCCGGCUAACUACGUGCCAGCAGCCGCGGUAAUACGUAGGGGGCUAGCGUUAUCCGGAAUUACUGGGCGUAAAGGGUGCGUAGGUGGUUUCUUAAGUCAGAGGUGAAAGGCUACGGCUCAACCGUAGUAAGCCUUUGAAACUGGGAAACUUGAGUGCAGGAGAGGAGAGUGGAAUUCCUAGUGUAGCGGUGAAAUGCGUAGAUAUUAGGAGGAACACCAGUUGCGAAGGCGGCUCUCUGGACUGUAACUGACACUGAGGCACGAAAGCGUGGGGAGCAAACA
RNAcentral lists this ribosomal RNA (404 nucleotides) under uncultured prokaryote. RNAcentral describes it as "bacterial SSU rRNA". It matches the Rfam family "Bacterial small subunit ribosomal RNA", at positions 355 to 774 of the family's 1533-position model. The record is from RNAcentral.